CUUUAAUUAAAAUGAGCUCGUAAGAGUUGGCGAUUAAAUGCGAGCGAGUUUUUGCAAUUAUGCUGGCCUCAAGUGGGCUGAUCUCACUGCCACUGGCCGCUACUCGAGUUAGUGUUAGUUUUGUGUGGGCAGUUUCGUCUCUCAGGGAAAUACCAGGCGAAGGCAGGCAUGACAAUGCCAAUGGCGAUGAUUCCAGAAUCAUUAUAACAGCAUACAGAUCGCGCUGUUAAUUCUAGCUACCUCUUAUAGUGAGCAUGACAAGCCAAACUUCUAGGGCCCUCUAUAUAUAAACGC
Molecule: non-coding RNA, 294 nt
Organism: Paramuricea clavata
Lineage: Eukaryota; Metazoa; Cnidaria; Anthozoa; Malacalcyonacea; Plexauridae
Source: the annotation of a GenBank genome assembly